Vicia faba (fava bean) is the source of this 309-nucleotide non-coding RNA. The record is from the annotation of a GenBank genome assembly. Lineage: Eukaryota; Viridiplantae; Streptophyta; Magnoliopsida; Fabales; Fabaceae.
AUGGAAAUAAACCAAAAAAAUCUGCAUUAUCAAAAACAACCACCGCUUUCAAUCCGGCUCCAGUGGCUGACUGCGACUUCUCCUCCUUCCGACGAUUUUUCUGGAGGUCCAUUCUCCCUUUCUUUGCAAGUUCUGGCCAUUUUUUAUCUUUAUCUUCUCCAAUUCUUCACUUUGCGCGAUGUAGCCCGGUUAUAUUCAAAUAUUAAUGGCAAGGCUGCCCGGGGAUUGGUUUUGGAAGGCGAUUCUUCGCGAUGCAUUUGUUUGGAUUUUACUAUUUACUUGUGUAGCAUUGCUUGGUGCAGGACAUAG